Molecule: long non-coding RNA, 582 nt
Organism: Grammomys surdaster
Lineage: Eukaryota; Metazoa; Chordata; Mammalia; Rodentia; Muridae
Exons: 3
Source: RefSeq, a predicted model, not a curated record
UCAGCCUUAGCGCCUUUCCAAUGGUUCAAAGUGCGCGUGACCGUGCGCAGGCGCAGUCGGCCGCAUCUGACUUCCGGGAGUUACUUAAGGUAUAAAUAUGGCCGCGUAGGCUCGCCUCAGUCUUUUUAGGCGUUGCUCUUUAGCCGUGCGUUUUCUUGAGCUGAUGAGUAAUUCCAAGUAACUCGUUGAUUUGAGGAAAGAAGAGGAUCUUCACAGGGAUCUGCUUGAUAAAUGGCUUUGAGGCAUUUUAGCUAUAUACAGCUUGGUAAAAUUUUGUCUGUAUUAGUGCAUCAGCCAUUGGAAGCUGGACAAGCUUUUCUGCCUACUUACUCUGUCUGGUAAAUGCAAUUUUUUUUGACAGGUUAUGUCUAGAUUUCAGAAACCUCAUGUUUCUCCUUUUUGAUAUCCAACAAGAUUCCCUUGGGCCAUAUUAUAUAAACCAUGUAUCAUUUUUUUGUUCUCACAUUUUCUGUAAGAUUAUAUAGCCUUAAGUUCAAAUCCAGACUGGGUUAUAUGAUGUGGUUGUAAUCUGAGUAUUUGUGAUAUAACUGGCAAAUCUGAAUUAAAGCUUUUGAAUGCCUA